Molecule: ribosomal RNA, 466 nt
Filed under: uncultured bacterium
Lineage: Bacteria
Description: partial 16S ribosomal RNA
Rfam family: Bacterial small subunit ribosomal RNA
Source: RNAcentral
GAUGAACGCUGGCGGCGUGCUUAACACAUGCAAGUCGAACGGUGAAGCCAAGCUUGCUUGGUGGAUCAGUGGCGAACGGGUGAGUAACACGUGAGCAACCUGCCCUGGACUCUGGGAUAAGCGCUGGAAACGGCGUCUAAUACUGGAUAUGAGCCUCUUCCGCAUGGUGGGGGUUGGAAAGAUUUUUUGGUCUGGGAUGGGCUCGCGGCCUAUCAGCUUGUUGGUGAGGUAAUGGCUCACCAAGGCGUCGACGGGUAGCCGGCCUGAGAGGGUGACCGGCUACACUGGGACUGAGACACGGCCCAGACUCCUACGGGAGGCAGCAGUGGGGAAUAUUGCACAAUGGGCGAAAGCCUGAUGCAGCAACGCCGCGUGAGGGAUGACGGCCUUCGGGUUGUAAACCUCUUUUAGCAGGGAAGAAGCGAAAGUGACGGUACCUGCAGAAAAAGCGCCGGCUAACUACGUG